This 549-nucleotide ribosomal RNA is filed under the name uncultured Glomeraceae. Its description in RNAcentral is "SSU rRNA". It matches the Rfam family "Eukaryotic small subunit ribosomal RNA", at positions 548 to 1098 of the family's 1831-position model. The record is from RNAcentral. Lineage: Eukaryota; Fungi; Glomeromycota; Glomeromycetes; Glomerales; Glomeraceae.
UUGGAGGGCAAGUCUGGUGCCAGCAGCCGCGGUAAUUCCAGCUCCAAUAGCGUAUAUUAAAGUUGUUGCAGUUAAAAAGCUCGUAGUUGAAUUUCGGGGUUAGUAGGUUGGUCAUGCCUCUGGUAUGUACUGAUCUCACUGAUUCCUCCUUCCUGAUGAGCCGUAAUGCCAUUAAUUUGGUGUUGCGGGGAAUUUGGACUGUUACUUUGAAAAAAUUAGAGUGUUUAAAGCAAGCUAACGCUUGAAUACAUUAGCAUGGAAUAAUGAAAUAGGACGUUCGAUCCUAUUUUGUUGGUUUCUAGGAUUGACGUAAUGAUUAAUAGGGAUAGUUGGGGGCAUUAGUAUUCAAUUGUCAGAGGUGAAAUUCUUGGGUUUAUUGAAGACUAACUACUGCGAAAGCAUUUGCCAAGGAUGUUUUCAUUAAUCAAGAACGAAAGUUAGGGGAUCGAAGACGAUCAGAUACCGUCGUAGUCUUAACCAUAAACUAUGCCGACUAGGGAUCGGAUGAUGUUAAUUUUUUAAUGACCCAUUCGGCGCCUUACGGGAAAC